RNAcentral lists this ribosomal RNA (492 nucleotides) under uncultured bacterium. RNAcentral's name for it is "partial 16S ribosomal RNA". It matches the Rfam family "Bacterial small subunit ribosomal RNA", at positions 29 to 507 of the family's 1533-position model. The record is from RNAcentral.
AGUGAACGCUGGCGGUAGGCCUAACACAUGCAAGUCGAACGGCAGCACAGUAAGAGCUUGCUCUUACGGGUGGCGAGUGGCGGACGGGUGAGGAAUACAUCGGAAUCUACUUUUUCGUGGGGGAUAACGUAGGGAAACUUAUGCUAAUACCGCAUACGACCUACGGGUGAAAGCAGGGGAUCUUCGGACCUUGCGCGAUUGAAUGAGCCGAUGUCGGAUUAGCUAGUUGGCGGGGUAAAGGCCCACCAAGGCGACGAUCCGUAGCUGGUCUGAGAGGAUGAUCAGCCACACUGGAACUGAGACACGGUCCAGACUCCUACGGGAGGCAGCAGUGGGGAAUAUUGGACAAAGGGCGCAAGCCUGAUCCAGCCAUACCGCGUGGGUGAAGAAGGCCUUCGGGUUGUAAAGCCCUUUUGUUGGGAAAGAAAAGCAGCAGGUUAAUACCCCGCUGUUCUGACGGUACCCAAAGAAUAAGCACCGGCUAACUUCGUG